Molecule: ribosomal RNA, 497 nt
Filed under: uncultured bacterium
Lineage: Bacteria
Description: partial 16S ribosomal RNA
Rfam family: Bacterial small subunit ribosomal RNA
Source: RNAcentral
GAUGAACGCUGGCGGCGUGCCUAAUACAUGCCAGUCGAGCGAACAGACGAGGAGCUUGCUCCUCUGACGUUAGCGGCGGACGGGUGAGUAACACGUGGAUAACCUACCUAUAAGACUGGGAUAACUUCGGGAAACCGGAGCUAAUACCGGAUAAUAUAUUGAACCGCAUGGUUCAAUAGUGAAAGACGGUUUUGCUGUCACUUAUAGAUGGAUCCGCGCCGCAUUAGCCAGUUGGUAAGGUAACGGCUUACCACGGCAACGAUGCGUAGCCGACCUGAGAGGGGGAUCGGCCACACUGGAACUGAGACACGGUCCAGACUCCUACGGGAGGCAGCAGUAGGGAAUCUUCCGCAAUGGGCGAAAGCCUGACGGAGCAACGCCGCGUGAGUGAUGAAGGUCUUCGGAUCGUAAAACUCUGUUAUUAGGGAAGAACAAAUGUGUAAGUAACUAUGCACGUCUUGACGGUACCUAAUCAGAAAGCCACGGCUAACUACGUG